CUACGUAGGUGGCAAGCGUUGUCCGGAUUUAUUGGGCGUAAAGCGAGCGCAGGCGGUUUCUUAAGUCUGAUGUGAAAGCCCCCGGCUCAACCGGGGAGGGUCAUUGGAAACUGGGAAACUUGAGUGCAGAAGAGGAGAGUGGAAUUCCAUGUGUAGCGGUGAAAUGCGUAGAUAUAUGGAGGAACACCAGUGGCGAAGGCGGCUCUCUGGUCUGUAACUGACGCUGAGGCUCGAAAGCGUGGGGAGCAAACAGGAUUAGAUACCCUGGUAGUCCACGCCGUAAACGAUGAGUGCUAAGUGUUGGAGGGUUUCCGCCCUUCAGUGCUGCAGCUAACGCAUUAAGCACUCCGCCUGGGGAGUACGACCGCAAGGUUGAAACUCAAAUGAAUUGACGGGG
RNAcentral lists this ribosomal RNA (397 nucleotides) under uncultured bacterium. RNAcentral describes it as "partial 16S ribosomal RNA". It matches the Rfam family "Bacterial small subunit ribosomal RNA", at positions 523 to 918 of the family's 1533-position model. The record is from RNAcentral.